This 253-nucleotide ribosomal RNA is filed under the name uncultured bacterium. Its description in RNAcentral is "partial 16S ribosomal RNA". It matches the Rfam family "Bacterial small subunit ribosomal RNA", at positions 524 to 776 of the family's 1533-position model. The record is from RNAcentral.
GACGGGGGGGGCAAGUGUUCUUCGGAAUCACUGGGCUUAAAGGGCGCGUAGGCGGGCUGCCGCGUCCGGGGUGAAAUCCCACGGCUCAACCGUGGAACGGCCCCGGGUACGGGCGGCCUCGAGGAAGGUAGGGGCGUGCGGAACUGUGGGUGGAGCGGUGAAAUGCGUUGAGAUCCACAGGAACUCCGGUGGCGAAGGCGGCACGCUGGACCUUUUCUGACGCUGAGGCGCGAAAGCCAGGGGAGCGAACAGG